GAUGAACGCUGGCGGCGUGCCUAAUACAUGCAAGUCGAGCGAACAGAUGAGGAGCUUGCUCCUCUGACGUUAGCGGCGGACGGGUGAGUAACACGUGGAUAACCUACCUAUAAGACUGGGAUAACUUCGGGAAACCGGAGCUAAUACCGGAUAAUAUAUUGAACCGCAUGGUUCAAUAGCGAAAGACGGUUUUGCUGUCACUUAUAGAUGGAUCCGCGCCGCAUUAGCUAGUUGGUAAGGUAACGGCUUACCAAGGCAACGAUGCGUAGCCGACCUGAGAGGGUGAUCGGCCACACUGGAACUGAGACACGGUCCAGACUCCUACGGGAGGCAGCAAUAGGGAAUCUUCCGCAAUGGGCGAAAGCCUGACGGAGCAACGCCGCGUGAGUGAUGAAGGUCUUCGGAUCGUAAAACUCUGUUAUUAGGGAAGAACAAAUGUGUAAGUAACUAUGCACGUCUUGACGGUACCUAAUCAGAAAGCCACGGCUAACUACGUG
Molecule: ribosomal RNA, 497 nt
Filed under: uncultured bacterium
Lineage: Bacteria
Description: partial 16S ribosomal RNA
Rfam family: Bacterial small subunit ribosomal RNA
Source: RNAcentral